AUUGAACGCUGGCGGCAGGCCUAACACAUGCAAGUCGAACGGUAACAGGAAGAAGCUUGCUUCUUUGCUGACGAGUGGCGGACGGGUGAGUAAUGUCUGGGAAACUGCCUGAUGGAGGGGGAUAACUACUGGAAACGGUAGCUAAUACCGCAUAACGUCGCAAGACCAAAAAGGGGGACCUUCGGGCCUCUUGCCAUCGGAUGUGCCCAGAUGGGAUUAGCUAGUAGGUGGGGUAACGGCUCACCUAGGCGACGAUCCCUAGCUGGUCUGAGAGGAUGACCAGCCACACUGGAACUGAGACACGGUCCAGACUCCUACGGGAGGCAGCAGUGGGGAAUAUUGCACAAUGGGCGCAAGCCUGAUGCAGCCAUGCCGCGUGUAUGGAGAAGGCCUUCGGGUUGUAAAGUACUUUCAGCGGGGAGGAAGGGAGUAAAGUUAAUACCUUUGCUCAUUGACGUUACCCGCAGAAGAAGCACCGGCUAACUCCGUG
RNAcentral lists this ribosomal RNA (490 nucleotides) under uncultured bacterium. RNAcentral's name for it is "partial 16S ribosomal RNA". It matches the Rfam family "Bacterial small subunit ribosomal RNA", at positions 30 to 507 of the family's 1533-position model. The record is from RNAcentral.